This is a non-coding RNA of Pelobates cultripes (western spadefoot toad), 569 nucleotides long. The record is from the annotation of a GenBank genome assembly. NCBI's taxonomy places the organism in Eukaryota, Metazoa, Chordata, Amphibia, Anura, Pelobatidae.
AGGAGGUACAUUAGGAAAGGGGGGGCGGUAGUCACAAUUCCAGUCAUUGUUGCACUUUUCCUCAAGGUAAUACAACAUUGUACAAUACAGUGAGUUACAAUACAAUGGUUGCAGUUUCCCCGUUUAGUUACGGUAUCCAGUUAUAUAGCUCCUGACAUGUGGGCCCCUGUCUGUUGUGUUCCUGCUCUACUCGUAGUCGGCAGUGUGUUGGGUUCUGUUUUACAUAUCCCAUUUGUCACAUGUCUUCUUUUCCCUUAACCUCUUAGCCUCCAGUCCCACUCUGGUUCCCUCUAACUAAUGGUAUUGUUCCCAUCUUGUGUUCCAUAAUCUGGGGUGCCCCUUCUCCAUUUACGCCACCUUUCCCAUGUUUCCUGGUGGUGGUGUUUUUCUGGGUAUGCCAUUAUAUACCAUGUUUCGUAGAUUAAUUGCUUAUCUAUGUCUUGAACAAGGGUGGGAACUGUGGGGGGCUGUGGGUUUUUCCAGUUUCUUGCUAUCAGUUUUUGUGCAGUUAGUAAGAUAUGGCACAUUAAUUUUCUUAACGGUGUGGGUAUAUGGUUAGGGAAAUCUAG